GACGAACGCUGGCGGCGUGCUUAACACAUGCAAGUCGAACGGAAAGGCCCUGCUUUUGUGGGGUGCUCGAGUGGCGAACGGGUGAGUAACACGUGAGUAACCUGCCCUUGACUUUGGGAUAACUUCAGGAAACUGGGGCUAAUACCGGAUAGGAGCUCCUGCUGCAUGGUGGGGGUUGGAAAGUUUCGGCGGUUGGGGAUGGACUCGCGGCUUAUCAGCUUGUUGGUGGGGUAGUGGCUUACCAAGGCUUUGACGGGUAGCCGGCCUGAGAGGGUGACCGGCGCCCUUGCGCCUGCGGUACGGCCCAGACUCCUACGGGGGGCAGCGGUGGGGAAUCUGGCACAAUCGGCGGAAGCCUGAUGCAACCACGCCGGGUGCGGGAUGACGGCCUUCGGGUUGUAAACCGCUUUCGCCUGUGACGAAGCGUGAGUGACGGUAAUGGGUAAAGAAGCACCGGCUAACUACGUG
This 468-nucleotide ribosomal RNA is filed under the name uncultured bacterium. Its description in RNAcentral is "partial 16S ribosomal RNA". It matches the Rfam family "Bacterial small subunit ribosomal RNA", at positions 28 to 507 of the family's 1533-position model. The record is from RNAcentral.